RNAcentral lists this ribosomal RNA (857 nucleotides) under Rhinella acutirostris. Its description in RNAcentral is "partial 16S ribosomal RNA". It matches the Rfam family "Bacterial large subunit ribosomal RNA", at positions 1446 to 2576 of the family's 2925-position model. The record is from RNAcentral. Lineage: Eukaryota; Metazoa; Chordata; Amphibia; Anura; Bufonidae.
AGCGUCAAAGCUUAAUUGUUUUAUUGCUUAAUUUCACAAACAUUAUUUUAAUCCUCCAUCCCCAUUGAGUAAUUCUAUAACAUUAUAGAAAAUUUUAUGUUAAAACUAGUAACAAGAAGAAGACCUUCUCUUAAAUGUAAGUGUUGAUCAGAAAGGACAAACCACUGAUAUUUACCAUCAUUGAACCAAAAAUAGUAACUCAUCAAGAAAACACUAUUUUUAUUUAUGUUAACCUAACACAAGAACAUUAUAAGAAAGAUUUAAAGAAAAAGAAGGAACUCGGCAAAUAUUAACCUCGCCUGUUUACCAAAAACAUCGCCUCUUGAGCUUUAUAAGAGGUCCAGCCUGCCCAGUGACUCUGUUCAACGGCCGCGGUAUCCUAACCGUGCGAAGGUAGCGUAAUCACUUGUUCUUUAAAUGUGGACUAGUAUGAAUGGCACUACGAGGGUUACACUGUCUCCUUUCUCUAAUCAGUGAAACUAAUUUUCCCGUGAAGAAGCGGGAAUACACCUAUAAGACGAGAAGACCCUAUGGAGCUUUAAACAAUCAGCAAUUACUUUAAAAAUUAAAAAUUUCAGAAUAUUCAUUUUUUAAGUAGCGUGACUGCAAGUUUUCGGUUGGGGUGACCAUGGAGAAUAACACAACCUCCACAUUGAACGAAUUUCAUUCUAAGCUAAAAAUUACUUAUUAAAGCAUCAACACACUGACAUCUAUGACCCAAUAUAUUUGAUCAACGAACCAAGUUACCCUAGGGAUAACAGCGCAAUCCACUUCAAGAGCCCCUAUCGACAAGUGGGUUUACGACCUCGAUGUUGGAUCAGGGUAUCCCAGUGGCGCAGCCGCUACUAAAGGUUCGU